This 69-nucleotide transfer RNA is filed under the name Parribacus antarcticus. RNAcentral describes it as "tRNA-Gln". The record is from RNAcentral. Lineage: Eukaryota; Metazoa; Arthropoda; Malacostraca; Decapoda; Scyllaridae.
UAUAUAUUGGUGUAAAGUGCACAAAGACUUUUGGUGUCUUAAGAAAUGGUGUAAUUCUAUUAUGUAUAA